AUGGCGUCCAUGCAGCCGCCGUCAGUUGAGGUGGUGGAGCGCGGCCGGCAGUCGGCAUUGGGCAAGGAGACCGGCCAGUCAUGGGAGUAUCGGCUGCGGAAAUACCUCCUGCUGCUGGCCACGCUGGUGGUGACCGUGACGUACGCCGCGGGCUUCAACCCGCCAGGGGGCGUCUGGCAGGACACCCGCGGCGGCCAACUCGCCGGCGACCCCAUCAUCCGCGCCACCCACUACCACUGGUACCUCGCCUUCUACUACUGCAACGCCACCGCGUUCGCCGCGUCCCUCGUGGUCAUCGUCCUCAUCCUCGUCCUCGCCAUCUCGCACGACAAAAAGAUUGAGGAGGGGAAGGAGACGACGGUGCUCGUGUCGCUGCGGGUUUUCAUGGGGCUGGACGUGCUCAGCCUCAUGAGCGCCUACGGCGCUGGCACCUACCGGGACGUGGUCAGCGCCGUCUUGUAUUGCACGGUGUCGGUGGGCACUGUCUUGGUCUACGUCGUGUGCAUCAUCACUAUGAAGAGGCUGAGCUGCUUUCCUGGCAAGAAGUCCGAGUCCGAGUCCGUCUCCGGUAGGGCGAAAGGCAAAGAACGGCACUGCAAAAUCCUGAUGCUUCUCGCGACCUUCGCGGUGAGCGUCACGUACGUCGCCGGGCUUAGCACGCCGGGCGGCUUCUGGGACAGCACGGGGGGCAGCCACCUCCCGGGCGACCCGAUUCUCAGGGAUCGUCACGACCUGCGCCUGACGGUGUUCUUAUUCUGCAACACCACGGCGUUCGUGGCGUCCCUGUUCAUCACCAUGCAGCUCAUCAUCGACAGCAAGCUCCACGAGGAAACGAAGGGACGCCUGCCUCGCAAGUACGCGCUCUACGCGUGCAUCAUCGUCGCGCUGCUCGGCCUCGUCAGCGCAUACAUCGCCGGCAGCUGCAGGGAGACCCGCACCACCGUCUCCGUGAUCAUCAUCCUGGUUGGCGCCUCCAUCUGCAUCCGACUUGUCCUGUCAAAAUGGAUGUCGUCAAAGAUUAAAGAAGUAGCGCCAAAAUGGUUGAGUUGUCGUUCGAGUCCAGCUCACCAAAAUGGUGAAAAUCAGCAGACUGAUAAUGCCAGGGAGGCCAUGGACAAGGCUCGCUCUCUUGUUCUAUUGCUUGCCACUCUUGCGGCCACCAUCACCUACACAGCGGGGCUGGACCCGCCGGGUGGCCUGUGGCAGGAUAACGGCGAUGGGCACAUGGCCGGCGACCCGAUCCUUCUCACGACGAAUGCUAGGCGGUACAAGGCCUUCUACUACUGCAACUCGGCUGCCUUGGUGACCUCCUUGGUGGCCAUCAUCCUGGUCCAAAAUAAGCUUCUGCUCAAGCACCACGUGCUGGAGGUAGCCAUGAUACUCGUCUUAUUUGGCCUCAUGGGCGCUUAUGCCGCCGGGAGUUGCCGGGACGUGGACACCUCCAUUUACGCCAUGGCCUUGGCAGGCGUGGUCCUUAUUUAUGUGGUGAUCCAUGUUGUCAUCUUCACGCUGGACCAUAAGGAAAAGCAAGGUGACGAAGAGCUGCUGGAGAAGAGGCGCAAGCGGUUGCUCCUCUUCGCGAUCUUGGCUGCGACCAUCACCUACCAAGCCGGCCUCACCCCUCCAGGCGGCUUCCUUCUCAGGGACGACGAGUUCGGGCACCGCGCUGGUGAUCCGAUCCUCUUGCACAACUUCCCACACCGUUACAAUGCCUUCUUCUACUGCAACACGGUGAGCUUCAUGUUGUCCAUCGCUCUCAUCAUCCUCCUGGUGAACCCCAACCUAUACUGGCCAGCCAUACGAAGCAAUGCGCUAUCUGUUUGUGCGGGGGUGGGCUUGUUUGGUUUGCUGGCGGGCUACGCCGCGGGAAGCACUCAACACAUCAAGACCUCCAUCUACAUAUUCGUGUUAGUGGCAGUGGUCCUCCUCUUCGCCGCCGUUCUGCUAGCAUUAUUUUUGUGGACUGAGGUGCGGAGAAAUGGCAAUUCGGCAGGCGAGGUGGAGAUAAAUGACAACUCGGUAGCCGGUGCGCCAUCAGAGCCAGAGGGAAAUGGCAUAUCCCUCGGAGAGGGGGAAGAACAAAAGGAGGAAGAACACAAGAAGAAGACGAAGGAGGAGGAAAAACAAGAAAAGAAGGAGCACGCGGAGCGCAAGUAUGUAAUGCUACUAGGCAUCUUGGUGGCGAGCGUAACCUACCAGGCCGGCCUGAAGCCACCCGGCGGAGCGUGGCAGAGCAGCGGCAACGGAUAUGAGGCAGGCAACCCGGUGAUGCACGACAACAGGACACCUCAGUACCUCACCUUCUUCUACAGCAACUCCAUUUCGUUUGUGGCAUCCAUCCUUGUCAUCAUCAUGCUGCUACGAUACUGGCUGAUAAAGAAGGAGUAUGAAGAUUGGUCGCUAAGGGUGAUGAAAAUCACUACCGUGGUGAAUUUUGUCGCUCUACUGGUGGCCUAUACAGUCGGUUCCAGCAGGAGUUGGAAGACGUCUUUGCGUGUCGCUGCGUUGAGCGUUGCCUUGCAGGGCUACCUAGCAAUCAUUAUCUUGUGCUUGUCUUGGCAUCAUCAUCUUGAGAAGAAGCCGAGCAUGGCGAGCAACCAAGGAAAUCCUCCAGCGUGA
Molecule: ribosomal RNA, 2619 nt
Filed under: Triticum aestivum (bread wheat)
Lineage: Eukaryota; Viridiplantae; Streptophyta; Magnoliopsida; Poales; Poaceae
Description: partial small subunit ribosomal RNA
Source: RNAcentral